AGCCAUGCCUUAGUAGCGGCGAGUGAGCGGCAAAAGCUCAAAUUUGAAAUCUGGUACUUUCAGUAUCCGAGUUGUAAUUUGUAGAAGCAACUUUGGUGAUGGUCUUUGCAUAAGUUCCUUGGAAUAGGACGUCAUAGAGGGUGAGAAUCCCGUUUAUGGUGAAGAACCCACACUAUGUAAAGUGCUUUCGAAGAGUCGAGUUGUUUGGGAAUGCAGCUCAAAGUGGGUGGUAAAUUCCAUCUAAAGCUAAAUAUUGGCGAGAGACCGAUAGCGAACAAGUACUGUGAAGGAAAGAUGAAAAGAACUUUGAAAAGAGAGUGAAAAAGUACGUGAAAUUGUUGAAAGGGAAGGGAUCUAAAUCAGACAUGGUAUUUUGUGAUCAACAGUCUUUCGGGACUGUGCACUCGCAUUUUACUAGGCCAGCAUCGGUUAGAAGGGGGUAAAAAAGAUUUUGGAAUGUGGCUCCUCGGAGUGUUAUAGCCAAGGUUAAUUGCCCCAUUUCUGACCGAGGACCGCGUCUUUUGACUAGGAUGCUGGCGUAAUGGUUUUGAUCCACCCGUCUUGAAACCACGGACCA
Molecule: ribosomal RNA, 577 nt
Filed under: Zygoascus hellenicus
Lineage: Eukaryota; Fungi; Ascomycota; Dipodascomycetes; Dipodascales; Trichomonascaceae
Description: LSU rRNA
Rfam family: Eukaryotic large subunit ribosomal RNA
Source: RNAcentral